Molecule: ribosomal RNA, 465 nt
Filed under: uncultured bacterium
Lineage: Bacteria
Description: partial 16S ribosomal RNA
Rfam family: Bacterial small subunit ribosomal RNA
Source: RNAcentral
GACGAACGCUGGCGGCGUGCUUAACACAUGCAAGUCGUACGGUAAGGCCCUUUCGGGGGUACACGAGUGGCGGACGGGUGAGUAACACGUGAGUAACCUGCCCACAACUUUGGGAUAACGCAAGGAAACUGGUUCUAAUACUGGAUAUGUGCCCCUGCUGCAUGGUGGGGGUUGGAAAGCUCCGGCGGUUGUGGGUGGACUCGCGGCCUAUCAGCUUGUUGGUGGGGUAGUGGCCUACCAAGGCGGCGACGGGUAGCCGGCCUGAGAGGGUGACCGGCCACAUUGGGACUGAGAUACGGCCCAGACUCCUACGGGGGGCAGCAGUGGGGAAUAUUGCACAAUGGGCGCGAGCCUGAUGCAGCAACGCCGCGUGCGGGAUGACGGCCUUCGGGUUGUAAACCGCUUUCAGCAGGUACGAAGCUUUUUGUGACGGUACCUGCAGAAGAAGCACCGGCUAACUACGUG